Molecule: long non-coding RNA, 842 nt
Filed under: Phoenix dactylifera (date palm)
Lineage: Eukaryota; Viridiplantae; Streptophyta; Magnoliopsida; Arecales; Arecaceae
Description: long non-coding RNA (PDAC_LNC017697)
Source: RNAcentral
CCAGGCACGGCCCGUUUGGAACCGUUGUGGGCCGUGCCAGGCACGGCCCGUAUCGUGCCGUGCCCGGCCCGGCCCGCCAAUAGACGGGCCUGGGGCCGGGCCGGGCACCUGUUCUGUGCUGAAUGGGCCGUGCCCGGCACGGCCCGCUUAUGAAGCGGGCCGGGCCAGGCACGGCCCGUUUAGACCUCGGGCCCGGGGGGCCUGGGCCGGGCCGGCCCGACGCCCAACUCGGGCCGGCCCGGCCCGACGCCCAACUCUAAUCUUCAUGGACACUAGUACCAAUCAGAUAAAAGAAAGUCAUAUUAUUAGUGGAAGUUGAAAUGACAGAAGUACCUCUGACAGCAAGAGUGAUGAUCUUUCAGAGAAGAAAGUAGCAAAAUUUGAGAUGAAGAUUGACUAAUGACUAGAGAGUGAAAUUGAAAUUAAAACGAAGAGCAAUUUCUUUUGGGAGAAUUCAGUCAUUGUGUCAAAACAACAUCAUCAAACAUCUAGUCGUCUAAGGGGUAUUCAAGCCACAGUGCUAAUGUGGACAAUGACUAUAGAGAUGAUUGGCUUUCUAGAGCAACAAAUUGGUUAGGAUAUUGUCAUAUACCAGUUAAUAUUUCUACAGCUUUGCACAGUAGUCAUUGAAAAACAUUAGGUGUACGAAGAAUUGUUUAUUUCAAAAGCAUUUGGCCAUAAUGUUUUUCUCAGCCUGUAUCAAACAUUCUUAGCACACUCCAUCCUUUUCCAUUGUUAAUAACUUCAUAUUAUGAUUUCUUAUAAGUUGUAAAAAGCAUUAUAUUUUAUAUGCUGGUGUAACCUAACUGUUACGCAAGUCCAAACUUAUUAGGAAAUUAAUC